RNA transcript from Carlito syrichta (Philippine tarsier), 851 nucleotides. It is a transcript of the gene named patr class I histocompatibility antigen, A-126 alpha chain-like, with no coding region annotated. The transcript is spliced from 6 exons. NCBI's taxonomy places the organism in Eukaryota, Metazoa, Chordata, Mammalia, Primates, Tarsiidae. The record is from RefSeq and is a predicted model, not a curated record.
GUGGCGGAGCCAAUGAAGGCCUACCUGGAGGGCGGGCGGGUGUGUGGAGUCGCUGCUCAGGCACCUGGAGAACAGAAAGGAGACGCUGCAGCGCGCGGAUCCCCCAAAGACACACAUGACCCACCACCUCAGCCCCAAUGGGGAUGUCACCCUGAGGUGCUGGGCCCUGGGCUUCUACCCUGCGGAGAUCACACUGACCUGGCAGCGGGAUGGGGAAGACCAAACUCAGGACAUGGAGCUUGUGGAGACCAGGCCCUCAGGGGACAGAACCUUCCAGAAGUGGGCAGCUGUGGUGGUGCCUUCUGGAGAGGAGCAGAGAUACACAUGCCAUGCCCAGCAUGAGGGGCUGCCAGAGCCCCGCACCCUGAGAUGGGAACCAUCUUCCCAGACCACCAUCCUCAUUGUGGGAAUCGUUGCUGGCCUGUUUCUGGUUCUCCUUGGAGCUGUGGUCACUGGAGCUAUGAUGUGGAGGAAGAAGAACUCAGGCAGGGAAGGGGUGAGGGGGAGCUACUCUCAGGCUGCAAGUGGUGACAGUGACCAGGGCUCUGAUGUGUCUCUCACGGCUUGUAAAGUGUGACCCAGCUGCCUUUUGUGGGACUGAGUGACAGAAGAUUUGUUCAUGCCUACCCUUUGUGACUUCAAGAGCCUCUGACUUCUCUUUCUGCAAAGGACAUUUGAAUGGGUUUGUGUUCCUGUUAGGACAAUGUGAGGAUGUGGGGAGAAGACCAGCCCACCCCUGUGUCCACACUGACUCCCUUCACCGCCCUGACCUGUUGCCUUCCCUGAUCAUCUUCCCUGUUCCAGAGAGGUGGGGUGGGGACGUCUCCAUCCCUGUCUCUACUUCAUGGUGU